CUCCCUGUGGCUCAAUUGGUAGAGCAUGGUGUUUGCAACGCCAGGGUUGUGGGUUCGAGUCCCACAGGGGGC
RNAcentral lists this transfer RNA (72 nucleotides) under Salmo salar (Atlantic salmon). It matches the Rfam family "tRNA". Rfam says of the family: Transfer RNA (tRNA) molecules are approximately 80 nucleotides in length. The record is from Rfam by way of RNAcentral. Lineage: Eukaryota; Metazoa; Chordata; Actinopteri; Salmoniformes; Salmonidae.